UCUUGGUCAUUUAGAGGAAGUAAAAGUCGUAACAAGGUUUCCGUAGGUGAACCUGCGGAAGGAUCAUUAUUGAAUAAACCUGAUGUGGCUGUUAGCUGGCUUUUCGAAGCAUGUGCUCGUCCGUCAUCUUUAUCUCUCCACCUGUGCACAUUUUGUAGUCUUGGAUAACUCUCGAGGCAACUCGGAUUUUAGAAUCGCCGUGCUGCACAAGUCGGCUUUCCUUUCAUUUCCAAGACUAUGUUUUUAUAUACACCAAAGUAUGUUCAAAGAAUGUCAUCAAUGGGAACUUGUUUCCUAUAAAAUUAUACAACUUUCAGCAAUGGAUCUCUUGGCUCUCGCAUCGAUGAAGAACGCAGCGAAAAGCGAUAUGUAAUGUGAAUUGCAGAUCUACAGUGAAUCAUCGAAUCUUUGAACGCACCCUGCGCUCCUCGGUGUUCCGAGGAGCAUGCCUGUUUGAGUGUCAGUAAAUUCUCAACCCCUCUCGAUUUGUUUCGAGGGGGAGCUUGGAUGGUGGGGGCUGCCGGAGACUAGGACUCGUCCUGGACUCGGGCUCUCCUUAAAUGCAUCGGCUUGCGGUCGACUUUCGACUUUGCGCGACAAGGCUUUCGGCGUGAUAAUGAUCGCCGUUUGCUGAAGCGCAUGAAUGAAGGUUCCGUGCCUCUAAUGCGUCGACUUACUAUCUCUUCGGAGAGAAAACGUCUUCCUUAUUGACUUUUGACCUCAAAUCAGGUAGGACUACCCGCUGAACUUAAGCAUAUCAAUAAGCGGAGGAAAUCUAGAUGC
Molecule: ribosomal RNA, 783 nt
Filed under: uncultured Laccaria
Lineage: Eukaryota; Fungi; Basidiomycota; Agaricomycetes; Agaricales; Tricholomataceae
Description: eukaryotic LSU rRNA
Rfam family: 5.8S ribosomal RNA (bases 309-463)
Source: RNAcentral